AAACUUAUUUAAAGGCAGCAGUAAGGAAUAUUGGGCAAUGAGCGAAGGCUUGACCCAGCUAAAUCAUAUGUGUGAAUAAAGCUUCGCUAUAAAACACAAAAGUAAUCAAAUAAUGAUAAAGUUACAAAAUUAGCCCUGGCUAAUUUUCGUGCCAGCAGCCGCGGUAAAACGAGAAGGGCUGACGUUAUUCGAAUUUAUUGGGCGUAAAGCAUACGUAGGUUGAAAAUUAACUUUUAGUUGAAAGCUUAAAUUUUAUGUUUAAACUAGCUAAAAAAGUAAUCUUCUUGAGUUUAAUUAAAGAUUACAGAAUUCUAAAUGUAACGGUAAAAUGUAUUGAUAUUUAGAAGAAUCUCAAUAGCGAAAGCAGAAAUCUAACUUAAAACUGACACUGAGGUAUUAAAGCAUGGGUAGCAAAAGGGAUUAGAUACCCCUGUAGUCCAUGCCCUG
RNAcentral lists this ribosomal RNA (447 nucleotides) under uncultured marine bacterium. RNAcentral's name for it is "bacterial SSU rRNA". It matches the Rfam family "Bacterial small subunit ribosomal RNA", at positions 333 to 804 of the family's 1533-position model. The record is from RNAcentral.